UGUCUAUAUCCGCAUUUACCCAAACCCCACCCAGACUGCAUUUGCAUAGCAGCGAAAAAACCGGUAUUUUCUAUCUGUGAGUCACAUUC
RNAcentral lists this small RNA (89 nucleotides) under Jaculus jaculus (lesser Egyptian jerboa). Its description in RNAcentral is "sRNA (ENSJJAG00000003010.1)". Lineage: Eukaryota; Metazoa; Chordata; Mammalia; Rodentia; Dipodidae. The record is from RNAcentral.